CCUCCCCGCCAGUCCCUGGUUGGAGGAGGGGCGCGUCAGUCACUAGAGAGGUCGCCGCCUCUGGGACAGGCAAGAACAUCUCUUCAGGAACAACCAAAAUAAGUAUGCAAACCUGCCUGUUCCCUGCUACUCUCCACCCUUCGUUCAUGGGGGUGACUGAGGUUUUGGCCACCUGCCUUCCAGUCCUGUCCCAGUGUUCCAGGUUCCCAGCCAACCAAGCAUCUGGCACUUAAGCCAAAGGCCAGCAAUGUCCUGACUUCCCGAGUGAAUAUCUGUGAAGAGAGAAGACAUGAUGGGGUCAGGACUCAGGGACACUGUAAGGCAAAGAACAGAGCCACGGAGCGCUAGGUGAUCUUGUUCUGGGCCAGCUGGAUUCGCUCUGUCUCCCUCUAGCCCCCAGAAGUUUCCAUUACAAUUGAUGGGGACUUGUGG
Molecule: long non-coding RNA, 432 nt
Filed under: Sus scrofa (pig)
Lineage: Eukaryota; Metazoa; Chordata; Mammalia; Artiodactyla; Suidae
Description: lncRNA (ENSSSCG00065051057.1)
Source: RNAcentral